Molecule: ribosomal RNA, 440 nt
Filed under: uncultured bacterium
Lineage: Bacteria
Description: partial 16S ribosomal RNA
Rfam family: Bacterial small subunit ribosomal RNA
Source: RNAcentral
CCUACGGGAGGCAGCAGUGGGGAAUAUUGGACAAUGGGGGAAACCCUGAUCCAGCGACGCCGCGUGAGUGAAGAAGUAUUUCGGUACGUAAAGCUCUAUCAGCAGGAAAGAAAAUGACGGUACCUGACUAAGAAGCCUCGGCUAACUACGUGCCAGCAGCCGCGGUAAUACGUAGGGGGCAAGCGUUAUCCGGAUUUACUGGGGGUAAAGGGAGCGUAGACGGCAGCGCAAGUCUGGAGUGAAAUGCCGGGGGCCAACCCCGGAACUGGUCUGGAAACCGCGAAGCUGGAGUGCAGGAGAGGUAAGCGGAAUUACUGGUGUAGCGGUGAAAUGCUUAGAUAUCAGGCGGAACACCGGCGGCGAAGGCGGCUUACUGGACUGUAACUGACGUUGAGGCUCGAAGGCGUGGGGAGCAAACAGGAUUAGAUACCCGUGUAGUC